This 231-nucleotide ribosomal RNA is filed under the name uncultured bacterium. Its description in RNAcentral is "partial 16S ribosomal RNA". It matches the Rfam family "Bacterial small subunit ribosomal RNA", at positions 103 to 334 of the family's 1533-position model. The record is from RNAcentral.
CGGGUGAGUAACGCGUGGGUAACCUGCCUCAUACAGGGGGAUAACAGUUAGAAAUGACUGCUAAUACCGCAUAAGACCACAGCACCGCAUGGUGCGGGGGUAAAAACUCCGGUGGUAUGAGAUGGACCCGCGUCUGAUUAGCUAGUUGGUAAGAUAACAGCCCACCAAGGCGACGAUCGGUAGCCGACCUGAGAGGGUGAUCGGCCACAUUGGAACUGAGAGACGGUCCAG